Molecule: ribosomal RNA, 399 nt
Filed under: Salmonella enterica
Lineage: Bacteria; Pseudomonadati; Pseudomonadota; Gammaproteobacteria; Enterobacterales; Enterobacteriaceae
Description: bacterial SSU rRNA
Rfam family: Bacterial small subunit ribosomal RNA
Source: RNAcentral
AAAUUGAAGAGUUUGAUCAUGGCUCAGAUUGAACGCUGGCGGCAGGCCUAACACAUGCAAGUCGAACGGUAGCACAGAGAGCUUGCUCUCGGGUGACGAGUGGCGGACGGGUGAGUAAUGUCUGGGAAACUGCCUGAUGGAGGGGGAUAACUACUGGAAACGGUGGCUAAUACCGCAUAACGUCGCAAGACCAAAGAGGGGGACCUUCGGGCCUCUUGCCAUCAGAUGUGCCCAGAUGGGAUUAGCUUGUUGGUGAGGUAACGGCUCACCAAGGCGACGAUCCCUAGCUGGUCUGAGAGGAUGACCAGCCACACUGGAACUGAGACACGGUCCAGACUCCUACGGGAGGCAGCAGUGGGGAAUAUUGCACAAUGGGCGCAAGCCUGAUGCAGCCAUGCC